This 495-nucleotide ribosomal RNA is filed under the name uncultured bacterium. Its description in RNAcentral is "bacterial SSU rRNA". It matches the Rfam family "Bacterial small subunit ribosomal RNA", at positions 29 to 518 of the family's 1533-position model. The record is from RNAcentral.
AUGAACGCUAGCGACAGGCCUAACACAUGCAAGUCGAGGGGCAGCACAAGGAGCAAUCUGAGGUGGCGACCGGCGCACGGGUGAGUAACACGUGUGCAACCUGCCUGUAAGAGGGGAAUAACCCGUUGAAAGACGGACUAAUACCGCAUAAUACUAAAUUACUGCAUGGUAAUUUAUUUAAACAUUUAUGGCUUACAGAUGGGCAUGCGCAUGAUUAGCUAGUUGGAGAGGUAACGGCUCCCCAAGGCAACGAUCAUUAGGGGUUCUGAGAGGAAGGUCCCCCACACUGGUACUGAGACACGGACCAGACUCCUACGGGAGGCAGCAGUGAGGAAUAUUGGUCAAUGGACGAGAGUCUGAACCAGCCAAGUCGCGUGCAGGAAGAAUGUCCCUAUGGAUUGUAAACUGCUUUUGCAGGGGAAUAAAGUGCAUCACGUGUGAUGUUUUGUAUGUACUCUGCGAAUAAGGAUCGGCUAACUCCGUGCCAGCCGCGGC